CAGUAGCCGCGGUAAUACGUAGGGUGCGAGCGUUAAUCGGAAUUACUGGGCGUAAAGGGCUCGCAGGCGGUUUCUUAAGUCUGAUGUGAAAGCCCCCGGCUCAACCGGGGAGGGUCACUGGAAACUGGGAAACUUGAGUGCAGAAGAGGAGAGUGGAAUUCCACGUGUAGCGGUGAAAUGCGUAGAGAUGUGGAGGAACACCAGUGGCGAAGGCGACUCUCUGGUCUGUAACUGACGCUGAGGAGCGAAAGCGUGGGGAGCGAACAGGAUUAGAUACCCCAGUAGUCCCUGUCUCUUAUAC
This 301-nucleotide ribosomal RNA is filed under the name uncultured bacterium. RNAcentral describes it as "partial 16S ribosomal RNA". It matches the Rfam family "Bacterial small subunit ribosomal RNA", at positions 509 to 807 of the family's 1533-position model. The record is from RNAcentral.